RNAcentral lists this ribosomal RNA (253 nucleotides) under uncultured Lachnospiraceae bacterium. RNAcentral describes it as "partial 16S ribosomal RNA". It matches the Rfam family "Bacterial small subunit ribosomal RNA", at positions 524 to 776 of the family's 1533-position model. The record is from RNAcentral. Lineage: Bacteria; Bacillati; Bacillota; Clostridia; Lachnospirales; Lachnospiraceae.
UACGUAUGGAGCAAGCGUUAUCCGGAUUUACUGGGUGUAAAGGGAGCGUAGACGGUUUGGCAAGUCUGAAGUGAAAGCCCGGGGCUCAACCCCGGGACUGCUUUGGAAACUGUCGAACUAGAGUGCAGGAGAGGUAAGUGGAAUUCCUAGUGUAGCGGUGAAAUGCGUAGAUAUUAGGAGGAACACCAGUGGCGAAGGCGGCUUACUGGACUGUAACUGACGUUGAGGCUCGAAAGCGUGGGGAGCAAACAGG